Amphiprion ocellaris (clown anemonefish) is the source of this 7698-nucleotide long non-coding RNA. RefSeq lists it as uncharacterized. The transcript is spliced from 3 exons. The record is from RefSeq and is a predicted model, not a curated record. NCBI's taxonomy places the organism in Eukaryota, Metazoa, Chordata, Actinopteri, Pomacentridae.
GACAAGAGGAGGAGGAGGAGGAGGGAGGGAAGAGGGAUGCUGCAUUUUAGUGAUAGCACAGACUGAGGCUGCAGCAGCAGACAGAGAGCGAUGAGAGAGGUAGAAAUUAAAAGAGGGGAUUGUCAGAGAGAGCACGACAGGAUUCCCACAGAUUAUCACGAGCGUGUUCUUGAAGAACCAGCAGCAGGGGUUUCAAGAGAGGAGGAGAAAAAAGGAGCAAACUUGUGACCUCAACAAGAGAAAAGACACUUCUCCAGUAAGAAGAGGAGAAAAUAAUCCACCUGUGAUCAAACUAAGACUAUUAGCAACAGCAAGAUCUCAAAGAGAAACAUCAGAAAGUGUAACUCUGUCUUCCCUUUUUUUUGUCUCUGCUUGACUGUCUAUCCACAGGCUCUCCUUCUGUCUGUCUCAGCAGGAUGCAAAGGCAUCAUUUUAGUGCCUGGGAUGGAAAGAAAUGCUGAACGAAUCCUGAAGGGUUGUUAGAGAGAGAGACGAAGCAAAAAAAAAAAAAAAGGAGGAACAGAGGAACAUUUGCAAGCUUCUGGAAGGAAAAGGGAGGAGAAAGCAGUAUGACUCAGAGCACAGCAGCUAGAAUACUGUGUAUUCUGCAUGCAAGAGGAGAGGCAGAGGGAGACAGAGGAACACUGAGGAAGAUAUAAGGAGAAAAAUAAAGAGGACUUGACCAGAACUGAGUCGUCAUUAGACAGAAGAAGGACAGGAUGAAGACAAGCAACCACACUGGCAGGCAGUGAGUGAGAUAUAGGCCAAGUGAAUCAGCUUGCUAGGGGGAGAGGAAGGCAAGAAGAGUUUAGAAAGUGGAGGGUUUAGUAUGACUGAAGCCAGUCGAGGGAAGGUUGAAUGAAGGUUUGCUGCAGGGCGGAGAGUGGGAGAAGAACUGCAAAGGACAGAAGGACAGCGUUAAUGAAAAAUAGUUUGAACUCCUACAGGGGAGAAAGUCCUGAGUGACUGCCUCUUGCCACAGGGAGAGAACAUGACUGAGCUUUGCAUGGGGGAGAAGAAGCUUCAAGAAGGUUGAACACGGGAAAGGAAGAAAAUGUUAGAGAGUAUAAAGGUUGAAAAGAGACCUAGAAGUGGAGAAUGAAGGAAAGGAGCAAAUUAGGCCAGAUCAGAGCAAAGAUUUAACAUUCAAGCAAAAAGGCAAGGUCUAAGAAGAACAGAAAGAGAAACACUGCACGCUUAGAACAUGGCAUCCAACGCGCAACGAUGGGUAACAUGAAAACUUUAACUGUGACAAUAACACGGCAAGAGGUUCCUGUUAAAUAUUGAUGCUGACAGGCCACUCUGGAAAGAACUUGCUCCUUGUACCACAGAGGGAGAAACAGAAGAAACGUAGCUGCUUUUUUAUUCUGAGGGAUUUUUACACCGGAAUAGACAAGCUGUUAAAUGUGUCAGAUGAUGGCUGAGAGUGGUGAAGUAGAGAUGUUGGUGCAAAUUAAGACCAGACCUACAAAUUAGCCGACGCUGGGCUUCCUGGAGGUUUUUUUGGACAGCUGUGCAACUUCUUGGGGAGAGUGGAAUUACUAUAGACAGAAGCACUGGACCCUUUAUGUUGUGUGCGAACAGGGAUCGGUGUUUGAGAGAGAUGACUGAGACCUCGUGAGGAAAAUUGUUCUAUUCGACAAGAACAAUCCAGAUGUAUGUUUCGGACUGACAGCCACUCUGCAGCACUGCCACAUGAGAAAAGCCGCUGCUGAAGCAUAUAUGUUGUUUUUGUCCUGGACUGACUGGAGCUGUUUCACAGAAAAUGGCUUCAUUACAGAGAUUUGGCCAGUGGAGGACUGCUUGAGGAGAUAUGUGUGGAGAUUCUUUGAUGAAGAACUGGAGGCAGGAUGCUUACUUUGUUUUUGCUCCCGGGACUCAAUAAAGUCAUGAUGGGUCUUUUGGUGAAGGCAUCACGUUAGGAGCUGCCUUCUAUCCGACUUGAAUCACCGAUUGCUCAAAGAUCAAAACAAUAACGUAGGAAGACACAAUGGCACGGUCUCCAUCCAGCUGCCGAUAGACCAGCUGUGUGUUUAUGUGGGGCAGCGUGGGGGUGCAAGGACUGUCGAGGAGCUCAGCUGUGUUUGCGCGGAUGCUUGUGUGGGUGUGGAUGUAGAGGUGUGUGUGUGUGUGUGUGUGCACUGAGCUUUGAACCCAGCUGUAUCGGAGUGUAUUUUCAAAGAGUCACCCAGAGCUGUGUGUGUGUGUCUGUGUGUGUCUGUGUGUGUGUGUGUCGCCUGGAUUCUCCCCACCAGCGACAGAGCUGGACCUGAGCAGCAGCGCUGAGAGGGGGGACAGGGAGGGGGAGGAAGAGGAGGAGGAGAGGAGGAAGACGGAGGCGAAAGGAACCAGCAGGACGGAGGAGAAGAAAAAACUGACAACAUGCUUGGAUAAAGAGAAGAAAGAAAAGCGUCUUUGGCUGCCCCUCUGGUGCAAUGUGUGGCAUCGCGCCCUGUGGGAGUGGGGUUCUGUGAUGGUAACCAUGGUCCCCGGCAGCCGCUAUGUUUGCAGCGCUCACGCAAGAGAGGAAGACUCCACGAAUGACCGCGAGGAGCGAAUUUUAGCCGUGCUGGGCAUCAUUGGGACCAUCCUCAAUCUUCUGGUGGUCAUAUUCGUCUACAUCUACACCUCAGUCACAUAAGGAUUUCUGCAAGACUCAGAACAAGACACGGUGGCUCCGAAGCCAACUUUUGCUCACACUGCCACUGCCCUCUUUAAGUAUUUAUGAACUUAGAGGGUUCGAUUUUUUUAAAAAGUAAGCACUAAGAUGUGAGGAUCAUUGGCAGUGUGCUCAGCUGGAUUGUAGCCAUAUUUAUCUACACCUGUGUCACUGCUUAUCCCUCAAGACAGCUCUGCUCACUCGGGGCUUGUUGGGGGAAUCAUCCGGACUUCCCUGUUAUGAUUAAACUGUAUCAUUUUUCAACACAGAUUCACAUAUGCAUAUUCCAAAUGACUGCUGACACUGUGUCCAGUCUGGUAACAGUCAUGCAUCUGAUUUCAUAUUGAUCCAUAACUGUGGAAUAACAUUUUCUGUGGCUUCUUCAACUGCUCAAAUGGAGCUGCUGAUCUGAUGGUGACUGUGCUGCAUCUUCCACUAAUGUGUGGUUUCUGUUUUUUUGUGAGAUUUUAGAUAUCACUGCCAGUUAAAUAUAUACAUUAAAGGUUGGACAAGCAGAAAAACUUUGCGUUAAUUUGACCAAAUUAGUACAUUACGAAGAGGGGUACACUAUUAAAACUGCUAAUAUGGACCAAAAUUGCCAAAUGAGAUAUCACAAUUAUCAAAACUGGGACCCUAAAUACUUGUAUAGAACAUUGGUAUAGACGUACAGAUAAUCACGUCCUUACUGCUAAAUCUUAGUUUCUGUGGUUAGUAGAAUCCUUGAAAGGGUUUUACAUGGACCUAACGUGUCCAUACUUGAGCACACCAGAGGAGAGAUUCCUGGCAGUGCUAGGAGUCAUCGGUAUAGUCCUUAACCUCCUGCUGCUUGUUUUUGUCUAUGUAUACACCUCCUUUUGAUUUGGGGACUCCAGAAAAAAGCUGCUUAAUGCCAAUGUUCUUCUCCAUGUGGGAAGUUGCUACACCUAACAGCAGCCUGGUGUAUCAGUGAUCGUAUCGUGCAGAGACUAUACAUUUUUUAGCCACACUUGUAUAUAUCUAUCCCAGGCACACCAUGGUUCAUAGCGUAUGUGAACAUUAUAUGUUACUCUGGGUAGGUUUCCGGCCCUUGAUGAUACAGUGACACUCAAACAAUAUGGUGAAAAGAAAGCGAUGAAUGAAUUCAAAGGUGGAAGCAGCAGACUGGUUCAUUUUAUAAAUACACUUCAAAUUCACCAUUUCCAUGGAUAUUUGUGGCCUACAGUUGGUGGUUUUCUAAUACAAUUAGAGUCAUAUAAUACAGUACUCUCCCAUAUGUGUGCAUCAUGAGAUGUUAAUUGAAGCUUAUAUUACUACAAUGAAAUGUUCUCUAUCACGCUUUGACCAAAAUAACUGUUGUAAAGACUGCCAUCUUUGUAGUGAUUCUGUUCUACAUGCUUAUUUCUACUGAAAACAUCAAGACAUGGAAUUGGAUAUUUCAGUCUGUGCAGAAGCUCUGCACAUCAGCAAAGAUCCCUUUGUGUAUAGUUGGUCCCACAGAAUAAUAGUGUGUUUUCUGCUGCCGUGUUUCAGUGAUUAUAUGUGGAAACCAGGCACAGAGCAGCGUCAGAGUGGGCAAAGCGUGAAAUUGAGACAAUGUCACAGAAAUCAAGACAGAGCUCUUUUGCAAUGUAACACAAAGGCCUACAGCAGUGGCAAAGAAAUCAGGGAGAACCAGUGUGGAUUGUCUGAAACAAAUGGACAUAAAACCUUUCUACAAAGCCUCAAUGUCUGUUUUGAAACUCAUGAAAGCACAAAAAACUCCCCGGGAUUUGGUUACAACAUGUUCACCGGAGCUGCAUGUAAUUAUGGAUAUGACUUCAGGUUGAAGCACUCUGUCUCUAAUGGAGAAGCAAACCUGAGUGCAGCUGAAACUGGCCUGAAUCUACACUUGAUCCUCGUCAUUCUCUUCUCCACCAACAAGCUAAAGCCAGAGAAGACAUAGUGACACACGGGUCUCUGCUGUCAUCUCACGUAUAGCACAGGAACAGUUUAUAUUCCAAAAUUAAUGACCAGCGAGGUUGAAACUUAACCUUCUGCAAUUUUACAUGUUGGCUUGUGUGGAAAAAAUGUUUGACAUUUUGAUAAUUAUUGCAUAUGAUUCCUUGUUACAGUGUGUUUGUAUGCUCUUAGUUUUAGCACCAGUUUAUCACAGAGUGUUUGGUUUGCAAGAAAAUCCAAAAGCCACAAUCACUACAUUGGAAAAUGCUUGGGAUGAAAUAUGUAUGGAUGAGCACAGUCUAUUUUUAUAAACCGUAGAAGGUUCAGAUAAAUAUACUCAUAGUUUUGAAAUUGUGGAUUAAUGACUGAUUGAUAUUUGCCACUAAAAUAAUGAGAUUUUACACACAAAAAACUAAAAACUAUGAGUUGCAUUGUUGGGUUCAAAAAGCAAAAUUGCAUCUAAAAAUCAGACAUUUCUGUCACCUGUAAUGCACAAGUAACUUGCAUAAAAUUCUCAAUCACAUAGACACACUUAUGCAUGUUUGUUUUUCUGAUCUUGAGGACCCUCGCUGACAAACUGAUCAUAACCACCACAUGCCUAAUUCGAUCUUUAUGUCACCUUAAUCUGGCUAAACUGGAGCCUUGUUUACAACCUGUUUAAUUAUCUCACAGGUUUUGUUUCUUACCCUGCUCAGUAUAAUAAUGGAAUCGAUGACCCAGCUGUGAUGAUAGAACUUAAAUUGUAACAAACCAUAUUUCUUUUUUAUGAUCAAAUCUUCAGGCCCACAAAGAACUGGGAACAAACCAAAAAGUCCUCACUUUCCGAAAAGAAAAAGUCUCCGCUUAGAACUAAAACUCAAACUGGUCCUCACAAAGCUAGAAAUGUAAACGCUCACACACUCGCCGCUUGCAUCUCCCUUCAUGAGUUUAAUUUUACACCAUCUUUCAGCACACAUCGGGAGGUUCGGCCGUUAGCAUACUGAGAUCGAUGUGACUUGCACAUUUACUUCCUGUCACAUCUAAUCACUUUACAGUGGAGUUUGUUGAGUUGAAUCCAUGUUAAGUGUGCACCAAAGCACAGUAUGAGCCACCUUUGGUUUGCCAGACAUCUGCUGUCAGACUGUGACAGUCGAAGCUGCGGCUCUGCAGAAAUACACAUGAACAGACUUUGAACUACCUACAAAUGUACUGGAGAUAUUUUUUGAUCUGAGGUGCCUCUGGAAGGUCAUUGGAUGUGUGUAAACAAACAGAAUGAACACAUACGCUGCUACCUAUUUGGACAAAGGUAUUACAGUACUGCUUUCUGAUCAAGGACUUAAAAUUAAUAAAUGUUUCACUAAUACGUGCAAAAUCGGUUAGAAGCCAUACACAAGAAAAAACCUUUUGGUCUCCUGGUAUCUUUAUUGUCGCUUUGUAUCAAGCCAUAUUUUAUAAUAGCUAAAACUGCUAUGCUACCAUUUACUGAUGCUACAUGGUUAGAGUAUUAACCCAUUAGCAUUUAUGAAGUAACUACCAAUUUUAUAACUGUAUUAUUACCACAGAAAAACAAUAAGGGUUUUAAAGAAAGUGGCAGUCAUUAAAAGGAUCAAAGUGUUUCUGAUAAAGUUGUCUAACUACUCUGUUAAAUGAUUCAUUAACCAUUAUUACAGUCAUUGGUUACGACUUAUAAACCCCCUUUGAAGAAUCCCUGAAUUGAAUGUUUCAGGCUCCUCAUGUUAGUGAGGGUUUUCAAUUAUGGUAAAAACUAGCAAUUCAGACUGGAACAAAUAAAAGACAUUUAUUUUAAGCUAAUAUUUAAUCUUUUGAACCUUUCACGCCCAAAAGAAUAAAGUCCCAGAAUACAUUUAUGCCAGUUCCAAAAGUCAUUAAGACCAUAAUGGGAUCCACUGGACCCAGCUAACUCUGCUGAUGAUUAGAUGGUCUAUUAAGACUAGAUGAAAGGUAUAAUUAGAAAAUAGAAUUGUCAACGAUUUCUAAACAGCACUAGCUGAUAUUAGAAAAAGGUCAAGGUUUUGGCCUCAAUGGCUUUUGAUAAGUCAACGGAACAAUGUGGUUGCAGUACCUGAGCUUUGUCUUAUACGUUUUUGGUUUUCGGUUGAGACCUGUUUUAACACACUUAUUGCUAAGUGGACCAAUGAGAGGAGAGAACCUUGAGGGUGAAUCCCAGCCAUCUGCUGUCCCAACAGACCUCCUCAGUGCGCACACACACACACACACACACACACACAUACACACACACACACACACACGCACACAGGAAGCAUAAGCAUCUAUUUUUUAACCAAGCAGCAUCUCAAUGCAUCUCAAUAUUGCUUUUUUCUUUUCUAGAGAAGGGAAUAGUUUUCACUGCAAGAGGAAAAACAAAUGGGAGUCCUGACCAAUGCCGCAGGAGCUGAUUGUUAACACGAAACACUGACAGGCAAAUGAGUCUGGAUUCAACACUGCUCAUUCUGUGUCCGAGCCAGUCUGUUAAGCCAAAGCAAAGACUGAUUCUCGUGUUUUUUUAUGACGUACGAGCUGAAUUGAUUUUUCGAGCACACUGGACACAAGCUGCCUGAGACUAGACAAGAGAAAACAAUGUGGAGGGAUUAUUUUAAUGUUAUUUCAGAGCAACAAAGCUGAAUAAUAGCUGAGCUACCUUAGAAUCUGGCAACAAAAUAAGUGCCUUGGGCAUAACAGAUUCCAGCUUUACAGUAUUUUCUACAGCACAAUUCCACCCAGAGGAAAAAAAGACUGAGAAAGGUCCUGGCAUGCAUGAAAAAUGUGUGUUUGUUCCACUUAGCACUUUUCAUUUAACUGUAAAUUAUUUUCUAAGCAGGCAGCACCGGUGAUUCACAAAACAGGUGUCUGAAAAACUGAGAAAUAAUCUAUUAGCCAAAGUAUUGUGUGAAACGCUGACAGCAGUUGCUGCUGCUGUGCAAACAAAUUCUAGUUUUAAGAAGCGAGCUGCUGAGAGGAACUACCUGCUGUUUUUGGUUGCUUCUAUUGUAAUCUGUACUGUCAAAUGAGAGUAACUGUGUCUGCCAGAAAUCACAGCACUGAGUCUGAUGAAGCUGAUAAAGAAAAGGUUUGAUACGAUUCUUGAGAAUUACUAUUGAAAAUAUGUUUUGAGAUCUGGUGUA